This is a long non-coding RNA of Quercus robur (English oak), 614 nucleotides long. RefSeq lists it as uncharacterized. NCBI's taxonomy places the organism in Eukaryota, Viridiplantae, Streptophyta, Magnoliopsida, Fagales, Fagaceae. The record is from RefSeq and is a predicted model, not a curated record. The transcript has 4 exons.
UCCUCAUCGUUCUCCUCUGCGCACUCAUAUGUGUUUUGGUUCUCAACUCUGCUAAUUACUUGUGUUUUCUCCCAAUGGGUAACCAGAGGCUAUAAAUUGCAUGAGAGACACUAACACAAAGUACAAUCAAAAGAGUCAAGGUUCAUAUGGAGUAUUUGGGUUAUCUUUCACAUCCAUAGAAUAAACACAAAAGUAUGGACACAAUAAGGCUGAACAAUGGGUUAAUAAUAUGACCAAAGCUGCAGAGAAUGAACCGCCAGAAGUAGAAUCAGAGGGUCAACCUUAUAGGCUUGGAUUGGGUGCAAAGGUCUCACGCCAAGCCAAAUUUGGACCUUCAAACGACCCACUUGAAAAGAAACUACGUGCUAAGUUAAACACUGGAAAAAGAAAAGCUGCUAUUAUUGCCAAGGAAUAUACUCCAUCUGCUAGAGAUGGAGGUGAUAAUGAGGAUGGCGAUUUAGACAGCAGAACAAAUGCAUUUGACAAGAAGCGAGCAAGAGCUCCUAUGACUGUAUGUUCACAAGCAAAUAAAAAACAUAAGUAACUAUUUUUCCGUGUCUGUGGAGUCCUCGAGGGUUCUGUCUCUUUUGUUAUCUGUCACAUAUACUUUUUUU